CCUACGGGAGGCAGCAGUGGGGAAUAUUGCGCAAUGGGCGAAAGCCUGACGCAGCGACGCCGCGUGAGGGAUGAAGGUCUUCGGAUCGUAAACCUCUGUCGGCAGGGAAGAACGGUCACUGUGCUAAUCAGCAGUGAAUUGACAGUACCUGCAAAGGAAGCACCGGCUAACUCCGUGCCAGCAGCCGCGGUAAUACGUAGGGUGCGAGCGUUAAUCGGAAUUACUGGGCGUAAAGCGCUCGUAGGCGGUAUGUCAAGUCAAGGGUGAAAGCCCCGGGCUCAACGUGGGAACUGCAUUUGAAACUGGCAAACUGGAGUGUGUGAGAGGAGAGUGGAAUUCCAGGUGUAGGAGUGAAAUCCGUAGAUAUAUGGAGGAACAUCAGUGGCGAAGGCGACUAUCUGGCACAUAACUGACGCUGAGGAGCGAAAGCGUGGGUAGCAAACAGGAUUAGAUACCCUGGUAGUC
RNAcentral lists this ribosomal RNA (465 nucleotides) under uncultured bacterium. RNAcentral's name for it is "partial 16S ribosomal RNA". It matches the Rfam family "Bacterial small subunit ribosomal RNA", at positions 338 to 795 of the family's 1533-position model. The record is from RNAcentral.